This 111-nucleotide non-coding RNA is filed under the name Vibrio rumoiensis. RNAcentral describes it as "TPP sequence". It matches the Rfam family "TPP riboswitch aptamer (THI element)". Rfam says of the family: Vitamin B(1) in its active form thiamin pyrophosphate (TPP) is an essential coenzyme that is synthesised by coupling of pyrimidine and thiazole moieties in bacteria. The previously detected thiamin-regulatory element, thi box was extended, resulting in a new, highly conserved RNA secondary structure, the THI element, which is widely distributed in eubacteria and also occurs in some archaea. The record is from RNAcentral. RNAcentral also lists the same sequence under 1 other name. Lineage: Bacteria; Pseudomonadati; Pseudomonadota; Gammaproteobacteria; Vibrionales; Vibrionaceae.
GAAUACUCAUCGGGGAGCUAAAUCAAUAACUGAUUUGGCUGAGAUCUUUUUUAAGAGACCCGUGAACCUGAACCAGAUAAUGCUGGCGUAGGAAUUGAGUCUGGAAUUCCC